This 1094-nucleotide long non-coding RNA is filed under the name Chloebia gouldiae (Gouldian finch). Its description in RNAcentral is "Erythrura gouldiae (Gouldian finch) lncRNA (ENSEGOG00005011670.1)". Lineage: Eukaryota; Metazoa; Chordata; Aves; Passeriformes; Passeridae. The record is from RNAcentral.
CCCGCCCCCCGUCAGAUGUAACGCCGCUCCCCAUUGGGCAGGCUUCUCCCGCCUCCCCGCGGCGUCCCGCCCGAGUGGUGGAUUUUGUAAAGCGAGCGCUGAUUGGGUAGAACAGCCGGUUGGGAUUGUAAUACGGGUUAGGAUUGGUUAGUGGUGCCGCGGAUGGAGAAGGCGGGAAGGGGUGACACGCACUACCAUUGGUUGGAAGUGCUGUCUGUCACUUGGUAGGCGGAGCCAUCAAUCCAAAUAUCUCUCCUGACUGGUUAUUUUUGAGAUGUGGGCGCGGUCACCCCACGGCGGAGGCUGCGCGUGGGGCGCCCACGUUGCCUGGCAACAGGAGCCGCGCUCCUAUUGGCUGGCUUGAGGAAUAUGGGCGUGGUCUGAGACCACGCCCUCUGUUCUGCCCACGCCCCUCAGCUCCAAAUUCCCGGGGGCCCCCGAGACCCAAAAAAACCCAAAAAACCCCCUAAAAUAUCCCCUCCAAAACCCCCCUAAAUAUUCCCCAAAAAAGCCCAAAAUAUGCCCCCAAAACCCCCAAAAUAGCCCCCAAGAAAACCCAAAAUACCCCCCAAGAAAACCCAAAAUAUCCCUAAAAACCCCCAAAAUACCCCCCCCAAAAACCCAAAAACCCCCAAAACACCAGAUCCUCCCCAAAUCCCUCCCCAAAAACCCCCAAACCCCCAAAACCAUCCCCAAAACCACCAAAACUGCAAAACUCCAAAAAACCCCAAACCCCAAAAACUCCAAAAACCGCAAAAAGCCCAAGAACCCCAAACCCUCCCCAAAACCCGCAAAUCCCCACAAAAACCCCCAAACCACCAAAAACCCAAAACUCCAAAAUCCCAAAACCCUCAAAAACUUCCCAAAAAACCCGAAAACCCCAAAAGACCCCCAACCCCCCAAAAUCUUCAAAAAACCCAUAAAAACCAACCCCCAAAACCCCCAAAAAACUCCAAAACCCCCCAAAACGCCAAAAGCCGCAAAACCCCAAACCCCCAAAAACCCAAAACCCCCAAACCCCAAUACCCUUCAAAAAAACCCCAAAAAAUCCCAAAACCCCAAAAAACUCCAAAACCCCAAAAAAACCCAAAACG